RNAcentral lists this long non-coding RNA (282 nucleotides) under Helianthus annuus (common sunflower). Its description in RNAcentral is "hypothetical non coding rna". Lineage: Eukaryota; Viridiplantae; Streptophyta; Magnoliopsida; Asterales; Asteraceae. The record is from RNAcentral.
AACAUAAACAAAAUAAACCAUCCAAUCAUCGCUCAAACCUUCACCUUCCCCUCAUCGGUAAAGCUAGGGUUGUCCAAAAAGCUCGCAGCUCGGAGCUCGCUCGAAGCUCGCUCGAAGCUCGCUCGGAUUUAGCUCGGAAAAAGCUCGUUCGAUAUGGCUCGGUUUGAAACCCUAGUAAAGCUUCACCGAUUCAUGACCCUUCUCGAGCGGUAAACACCUUAGGCGGCGGUGUUACCGCUCGGUAAAUUCGUUUACCGACCAAGUUUGCCGCCCACUCCGUUC